This 649-nucleotide ribosomal RNA is filed under the name Paraclius digitatus. RNAcentral's name for it is "partial 12S ribosomal RNA". The stretch from base 1 to 408 matches the Rfam family "Microsporidia small subunit ribosomal RNA", at positions 755 to 1311 of the family's 1311-position model. Lineage: Eukaryota; Metazoa; Arthropoda; Insecta; Diptera; Dolichopodidae. The record is from RNAcentral.
UAGUUAUGAUCUUGAAACUCAAAAAAUUUGGCGGUAUUUUAGUCUAUUUAGAGGAACCUGUAGUAUAAUCGAUAAUCCACGAUGGACCUAACUUAAUUUUGUUUUUCAGUUUGUAUACCGCUGUUAUUUGAAAAUUUUAUAAGAAUAAUAAUUUUCAUGAUUUUUUAUUAAAAAGUAAAUCAGGUCAAGGUGCAGCUUAUAAUUAAGUAUUUAUGGGUUACAAUAAAAUUAUUUAUAUGGAUCAAAGUUUGAAAUUAUUUUGUAAAAGCGGAUUUAAUAGUAAAUUUUUAAAGAUAAAAGAAUUGAUUUUAGCUCUAAAAUAUGCACACAUCGCCCGUCGCUCUUGUUAAUUAAUAUAAGAUAAGUCGUAACAUAGUAGAUGUACUGGAAAGUGUAUCUAGAAUGACAAUUUAAAGCUUUAUUAGUAAAGUAUUUCAUUUACACUGAAAAGAUUAUUGUGCAAAUCAAUAUAAAUUGAUAAUAUAUAAUUAUUAAUAUUUUUAUUUUUUAUAUUAUUUAUUAAAAAUAAUUAUUUAUUUUUGUUUUAGUAUUUUAUAAAAAACAAAUAAUUUUAAUGAUAGUUUAUUAUGUAUUGUGAAAGAAUUUUGAAAUAAUUGAAAAAUAUAUAGUUUAAAAGAAAACUUUAUUU